Molecule: long non-coding RNA, 382 nt
Organism: Hyaena hyaena (striped hyena)
Lineage: Eukaryota; Metazoa; Chordata; Mammalia; Carnivora; Hyaenidae
Exons: 2
Source: RefSeq, a predicted model, not a curated record
CAUUAGAGCCAUUAGCAUCAUUGUUUAAAAUUUCCAGUCUGAUAUUCCAGCAUCCCUGCUUUAAUUGAGUCUAGUUUGAUGCUUGCUGUGUCUCUUUAAAUCAUGUUUUUUGCUUUGUAGUAGCCGUGUAAUUUUUUUUUUUUUUAUUAAAAGGCAGACAUGAUGUAUCAGGCAGAAGGAACCCAGUACUGGUCCCCGCAGAGGUUUCUGCUUGUGGGUUCCUAAUGUCUAGAACCAAACCCUCUGAAGAAGCUGCCUGAUCCAGAACCUGCUUUGUUUUCCAAGGAAAAUUAAAGGUUAAAAAAAAAAAUCAGAAGCCCAACAGACUAUCUGCCAAUGAUUGGUUUGGAGAAUAAAGAUCCCUGGCUUCCCAUUGCCAGCA